Molecule: ribosomal RNA, 111 nt
Filed under: Usnea cornuta
Lineage: Eukaryota; Fungi; Ascomycota; Lecanoromycetes; Lecanorales; Parmeliaceae
Description: partial 18S ribosomal RNA
Source: RNAcentral
GCAUCCUUUCGGGUACAUCUGCCGAAACCUUAGUGGAUUGAUUAGGCGACUCUAAACAAGUAUGAUCCUCGGGGCAUGCCUCGAGCACUAGCCCUCCCUCGUGGAUGGCGA